UAGGGAAUCUUCGGCAAUGGGGGGAACCCUGACCGAGCAACGCCGCGUGAGUGAAGAAGGUUUUCGGAUCGUAAAGCUCUGUUGUUAAGGAAGAACGAGUGUGAGAAUGGAAAGUUCAUGCUGUGACGGUACUUAACCAGAAAGGGACGGCUAACUACGUGCCAGCAGCCGCGGUAAUACGUAGGUCCCGAGCGUUGUCCGGAUUUAUUGGGCGUAAAGCGAGCGCAGGCGGUUAGAUAAGUCUGAAGUUAAAGGCAGUGGCUCAACCAUUGUAGGCUUUGGAAACUGUUUAACUUGAGUGCAGAAGGGGAGAGUGGAAUUCCAUGUGUAGCGGUGAAAUGCGUAGAUAUAUGGAGGAACACCGGUGGCGAAAGCGGCUCUCUGGUCUGUAACUGACGCUGAUGUGCGAAAGCGUGGGAAUCAAACAGG
RNAcentral lists this ribosomal RNA (429 nucleotides) under Bacteroidota bacterium. Its description in RNAcentral is "Bacteroidetes bacterium partial 16S ribosomal RNA". It matches the Rfam family "Bacterial small subunit ribosomal RNA", at positions 355 to 776 of the family's 1533-position model. Lineage: Bacteria; Pseudomonadati; Bacteroidota. The record is from RNAcentral.